CUCAUCAAAUAAUAGCAACAUUUCCAGGAUCAAGUUCCGUCUUCCUGAUGGAUCCUCAAGCAUAGCACAGUUUUCUUCGAGUACCACAUUGGAAGAAGUAAGACAGCAUGUGAGACAGAACAUAAAUCUUCCUUUCUCCAGUUUCACCUUGACAUCAACUGUCCAUAAUAGACCAUUUACAUCAGAGGAUAAUGAUAGGUCUCUUACUGACCUUGGCCUUGUACCAUCUGCCAUCUUGAUUAUUUUGUCUCAGAGCAGUAUAGGAGGCGGUGGUAGUGUUGUUCCCUCUGGUGGGAUAGUAGAUUUCUUCUGGAUUCUUCUUUCCCCCAUUACAUUUCUGCUUGGUUUAGUCCGGCAACUGUUUGGUGGAAAUUCAGCACCUCGUUCUCCAUCCACAUCUGGGAGUGAUGAACCUACAGCUAAAAGAGCUAGAGAGGAGGGACCAUCUACUUCCCAACAGAGACCCCAGACGGCAUAUGGUACACGUGCUGAAGCCCGAUUGCGUAGAGAGGGUAACAUUCACCGACUCCGCAAUAAUGAUGAUGAUGAUGACGAUGAAAAUAAUACAUGGAAUGGUAAUUCAACCCAGCAAAUGUGAAAUGAAAAUUUAUUUUUAUUCACUGCAAGACAGGUUGUAUGAUAGUUCAUUAUUUAGUCAAUGAGGAUGAGAUAAUUUCUGUGGUAUUUCCACUUACAUAUUAUGUAUGCUAAACAAACACACACACAUAUACAGGCACCAUAAGACACAGAUGUAGACACAGAUAUGGGAAUAUAUGGAUCAGAAAAUUGUGUAGUGAUUUGAAAAUCUUUAAAUGUUCUCUUUGUGGGUAUAUUUAUACGUGUGUCCCUUUACACAUCUGUAUGUGCUGACUUGCAUAUACAAAGAGAUUGUGUGUGUGUGUACGCGUGUGUGCGUGUGUGGACGUGUAUACAUGGUAUGUGCGUGCAUUCGUGUGUGCGUUUGUGCAUGCACGUGGUUGUGUGUGUGCAUGGGUGCAUAUGUGUAGAAGUGGGUGCAUGUGUCCGUGUAUGUGUGUGACUGUGUAAGUGUGUGUGACUGUGUAAGUGUGUGUGACUGUGUAAGUGUGUGUCUGUGUAAGUGUGUGUGACUGUGUAAGUGUGUGUGACUGUGUAAGUGUGUGUGACUGUGUAAGUGUGUGUGACUGUAAGUGUGUGUGACUGUGUAAGUGUGUUUGAUUGUGUAAGUGUGUGUGACUGUGUAAGUGUGUGUGACUGUGUAAGUGUGUGGGACUGUGUAAGUGUGUGUGUGUGUGUGUGUGUGUGUAUGUCUGUUUUUAUGUCUAUUAAUGUGUGGACAUGUGAGCAUGCACAAUUGUAUACAUUUUUGUUUCUUUGAGUAUGUGUUGUGUACAUGAAUACAUGACUGCUUCUAGAUUUAUUUUUUACUUGUAUUUGUAUUGCAUAGUUAUACGUGCACACAGGUGAUAGAUGAAUAUAUAAGCACUUCUUGUGUGCACUUAUCUAUAUAUUUAAUCAUACUGGUGGCAAAGAGAAGAAUGGUGCCCAGUGUAUGGCAGGUCAAGCAUUUCAGUUAAGAAGUAAUGUCCCUCGCAAGGGAUGGUAACCAAGGCUGUCAGAGAUCUGCCUUUCUUCUACAUGUUUAAAAUAUCAAUCUGUCAGUGUGAAAAGCAUUGAACCAGCUCUGACUGUUUAAUAUACUGCUGUGUAGGGUCUUGCAGCACCAAACCUGAACUACUCCAAAAGACAGCAUUUUAGUAUGCCUUUUUCAAUAGCCUGUCAAGCAAUAAAGUUUCUCUGAAUGGUACGUAGAUACCUUAAGAAGAAUCUUUAGAGCCCUUUGCAAAUUGUUACCUUUUAUAAUGAUAGCCACUUAUUUAUAACCAAAUGUUAUCACCACCUUUAAUAUUCAUAAUUAAAGUAUGUAUUUUGAGACUGUAUCAUGGUUUUUAAAGAGUCACUUAUUAUAUCUGAUAUUUAUGUUUUACUGACUCGUUAUAUUGCAUACAAAAAUAGGAUGUAAUGGAUUAAGUUAUGGGCAAACAAUUAUUGCUUUGAAUAUUGUAUUUAUUAUUAGCCUUUCCUGUUAGCAUGUCCAUUUUCUGGAAUCCAUGUACAUGUUACAUAUGAGGGUCAGGAGAUACACAUUAGACCUUUGAUAAUGGAAAUGACAGCUAUUACUUUGCAAAGGAGUAAAAUAUUUUUUAAAGGUAUCAAAGCUUUUUGAUUAUAGUUCAAUUGUUAUUAGGUGCUGUAUCAAUGUUGAAAGUUGAUAUGAAAAUGUUUUUUUUUUUUUUUUCAGUUCCCAAGAGGAAUUGUAUUUGUUAUAAUUAUCAUUGGAAUUAGAACUUACUUGUAUUGUGCAAUAUGAUUUUUUUGUUAAGUGCAAAGGCAUGCACUUGAAUAUUUAAUUUUCCACAGUAGUUUGUUAUUGAGGUGAAAAUAUAUUCAGAGGAAAUGUAACAGACUUUCACUUCCCAAUCAUAUUUCAAAUUAUACUAAUUUUAUAUAUUUCCUCCAAAAUAUUCAUGCAUACUAAUUAGUAAUGUUAUUAUUGCUGUCCUCAAUUAAAAUGAAAAUAGUUUUUAUCAUGCACUGGCAUUGGAGUUCAGAAACUGAGUUCAGGUCACUGAAGUAUAAGAAAUAAAAUCUUUCUAGAUU
Non-coding RNA from Penaeus vannamei (Pacific white shrimp), 2640 nucleotides. The record is from RefSeq and is a predicted model, not a curated record. NCBI's taxonomy places the organism in Eukaryota, Metazoa, Arthropoda, Malacostraca, Decapoda, Penaeidae.